This 803-nucleotide ribosomal RNA is filed under the name Salmonella enterica subsp. enterica serovar Agona. RNAcentral's name for it is "partial 23S ribosomal RNA". It matches the Rfam family "Bacterial large subunit ribosomal RNA", at positions 744 to 1547 of the family's 2925-position model. Lineage: Bacteria; Pseudomonadati; Pseudomonadota; Gammaproteobacteria; Enterobacterales; Enterobacteriaceae. The record is from RNAcentral.
GUUGAAGGUUGGGUAACACUAACUGGAGGACCGAACCGACUAAUGUUGAAAAAUUAGCGGAUGACCUGUGGCUGGGGGUGAAAGGCCAAUCAAACCGGGAGAUAGCUGGUUCUCCCCGAAAGCUAUUUAGGUAGCGCCUCGUGAAUUCAUCUCCGGGGGUAGAGCACUGUUUCGGCUAGGGGGCCAUCCCGGCUUACCAACCCGAUGCAAACUGCGAAUACCGGAGAAUGUUAUCACGGGAGACACACGGCGGGUGCUAACGUCCGUCGUGAAGAGGGAAACAACCCAGACCGCCAGCUAAGGUCCCAAAGUCAUGGUUAAGUGGGAAACGAUGUGGGAAGGCCCAGACAGCCAGGAUGUUGGCUUAGAAGCAGCCAUCAUUUAAAGAAAGCGUAAUAGCUCACUGGUCGAGUCGGCCUGCGCGGAAGAUGUAACGGGGCUAAACCAUGCACCGAAGCUGCGGCAGCGACACUCAGGUGUUGUUGGGUAGGGGAGCGUUCUGUAAGCCUGCGAAGGUGGCCUGUGAGGGUUGCUGGAGGUAUCAGAAGUGCGAAUGCUGACAUAAGUAACGAUAAAGCGGGUGAAAAGCCCGCUCGCCGGAAGACCAAGGGUUCCUGUCCAACGUUAAUCGGGGCAGGGUGAGUCGACCCCUAAGGCGAGGCCGAAAGGCGUAGUCGAUGGGAAACGGGUUAAUAUUCCCGUACUUGGUGUUACUGCGAAGGGGGGACGGAGAAGGCUAUGUUGGCCGGGCGACGGUUGUCCCGGUUUAAGCGUGUAGGUGUGUGUUCCAGGUAAAUCCGGUU